AGGAUAAUAGUUAAUAAAUAACAGUUAAUUUGCACUUAAAAAUUGUUAAGACUUAUCUUAACUUAUCUUAA
This 71-nucleotide transfer RNA is filed under the name Apoderinae sp. 2 AV-2018. Its description in RNAcentral is "tRNA-Ala". Lineage: Eukaryota; Metazoa; Arthropoda; Insecta; Coleoptera; Attelabidae. The record is from RNAcentral.